GGCCGCGUGGUGUAAUGGUGCACACUCUCACAAACAUUUCUCGUAUUAUAUUUACUAUAUGCUUUGUCUUGUUGAGAGAAGAGCGGGUUCGACCCCCGCCGUGGCUG
Non-coding RNA from Diatrype stigma, 107 nucleotides. Lineage: Eukaryota; Fungi; Ascomycota; Sordariomycetes; Xylariales; Diatrypaceae. The record is from the annotation of a GenBank genome assembly.